CGAGAAUCUUCGGCAAUGGGCGCAAGCCUGACCGAGCGACACCGCGUGCGGGAUGAAGGCCUUCGGGUUGUAAACCGCUGUCGUAGGGGAGGAAGGGUCCGUGAAGAACGGAACUUGACCGAUCCUAGGAGGCAGGGCCGGCUACUCUCGUGCCAGCAGCCGCGGUAAUACGAGAGGCCCAAACGUUAUUCGGAUUUACUGGGCUUAAAGAGUUCGUAGGCGGCUUGGAAAGUGGGGUGUGAAAGCCCUCGGCUCAACCGAGGAAUUGCGCUCCAAACUACCGAGCUUGAGGAAGCUAGAGGUGAGCAGAACUGAUGGUGGAGCGGUGAAAUGCGUUGAUAUCAUCAGGAAUACCGGAGGCGAAGGCGGCUCACUGGGACUUUUCUGACGCUGAGGAACGAAAGCUAGGGGAGCAAA
RNAcentral lists this ribosomal RNA (417 nucleotides) under uncultured bacterium. Its description in RNAcentral is "bacterial SSU rRNA". It matches the Rfam family "Bacterial small subunit ribosomal RNA", at positions 356 to 772 of the family's 1533-position model. The record is from RNAcentral.